GAAGGCCAGGGGGUGGCUGGGCUCCUUCUUUCCCCCCUCCGGGGGAGGAAGGAGAGCCUUGUGGCCCCCAACUCUGCCUAGGCCAGAGUUAGAGGCAGCAUUUAGAGUGAAUGUUUGUGAGGGACGCGACUCACAGCACCUGAGGUAAGAGGAGAGAGGCAGGCUUUGCAGCCAAGCCCUCUUCCCCCUCCUUUCUGCAAUUAAACUGUGGAGGGGGGGGCUUUUCUUUCUCUCCACUGUAAAGUGGAGGAGAGGCUCAGCAUUGGAGCAGAGCCAAAGUGGACGGGCUAAAUAUAGCUCAGAGCCAGGGAAAGGAAUCCCAGGCAAAACUGGAGAUGGACUGAAGAGAGAGGCCCAGAGAAUGUCUCUGCCAUGAUUUAAAUGCAAGACAGAUGAAAACCUGGAGGAGGAGUCAACAUUCCAGGACGCGUAAGUUGAUAAGCUACACUACAGCAGCCUACGAAUCGAGGUAUGAGACUGAGAAAGAGAGGUCACACAGCAGACUGAGGAGAAAGGACUCAAAGCUAUCUUCUUGGACUUUGUGAGGAGAAAAACUGCAGCAAACAGCUUGAGGUGUGAAGUACUUCUAACCUUUCAUGUUAGAUUGUCAGUAGGAGAACACCGCAAGAAUCUGAAAUCAGCAAGAGCAUCUGAAACAAGAGAAUCCACUGAAAGACUGCAUAGAAGUUUUUGCAUAGGAAGUAGCUCUCCGUAUGAUAGGUCCAGAUGAUGGAAGAUUUAACAUGGUGCGCAGAUCUAGAGAUCAAUAUUGAUUCCUCUGAGGAAUAUGUACAAACUACAAGGAAGAAAACAAUGAACAAGCAAUUGGAUAAACUGAGUCAGAGAAAGUUUCAGGUAGACUAAAAAUGUAAGCAUCAGCAAUGUUGCGAAGAGCAUUCAGUGAAUAAAAUCCAACAGCAUGUGCUGAAUAGAACUCACACUGUGUGCAACUAUCUGUCCUGUGUACAAAAUACCAAAUGAUCACUAUGGAAAUAAUGUGAUGAAAUCAUACCUCAACAGUAAAACAAGGUGGAACAACACACCAGUUACUACUUUAACUUCUAAGUGAUCGAACGCAUGGCCUGAAACACAUCAGCAUUCUGUUCUAGCAGCAGGUUCUUGCCCAUGGCAAGCGGGUUGGAACUAGAUGAUCUUUAAGGUCCCUUUCAACCCAAACAUUC
Molecule: long non-coding RNA, 1181 nt
Organism: Lepidothrix coronata (blue-crowned manakin)
Lineage: Eukaryota; Metazoa; Chordata; Aves; Passeriformes; Pipridae
Exons: 3
Source: RefSeq, a predicted model, not a curated record